This 455-nucleotide long non-coding RNA is filed under the name Lotus japonicus. Its description in RNAcentral is "long non-coding RNA (LJAP_LNC001951)". The record is from RNAcentral. Lineage: Eukaryota; Viridiplantae; Streptophyta; Magnoliopsida; Fabales; Fabaceae.
ACGAGCCUCCGCCAACUCCUGAUCAUAGCUCAUCGCCAAAUUAUUCACCUCACGCGCCACCUCCAACUCCUGAACAUAGCUCAUCGCCAAAUUAUUCACCUCACGCGCCACCGCCAACUCCUAAUCAUAGCUCCCCGCCAAAUAAUUCACCUCACGCGCCACCCCCAACUCCUAAUCAUAGCUCACCGCCAAAUCAUUCACCUCACUGGCAAACGCCGCCACCACCACCACCUUCUCCAUAUCAUAGCUCACCGCCAACCCAUUCACCUAACUCACCCCCGCCACCGCCUUCUCCAUAUCAUACCUCACCGCCGGCGCCACCUGCCCAUUCACCAUCUCCUAGUAUAGAACCUCCUCCACACCAAUCACAACCAUCUCCUGGAGAGCAUUCACCUCCGCCCCCACCAGGGCCACAACUACCUCACCUGCCACCACCUUCCCCAUCUCCCCUGCCC